RNAcentral lists this ribosomal RNA (714 nucleotides) under uncultured bacterium. RNAcentral describes it as "bacterial SSU rRNA". It matches the Rfam family "Bacterial small subunit ribosomal RNA", at positions 95 to 795 of the family's 1533-position model. The record is from RNAcentral.
GUGGCGGACGGGGGAGUAACACGUGGGUAACCUGCCCUUAAGUGGGGGAUAACAUUUGGAAACAGAUGCUAAUACCGCAUAGAUCCAAGAACCGCAUGGUUCUUGGCUGAAAGAUGGCGUAAGCUAUCGCUUUUGGAUGGACCCGCGGCGUAUUAGCUAGUUGGUGAGGUAAUGGCUCACCAAGGCGAUGAUACGUAGCCGAACUGAGAGGUUGAUCGGCCACAUUGGGACUGAGACACGGCCCAAACUCCUACGGGAGGCAGCAGUAGGGAAUCUUCCACAAUGGACGCAAGUCUGAUGGAGCAACGCCGCGUGAGUGAAGAAGGCUUUCGGGUCGUAAAACUCUGUUGUUGGAGAAGAAUGGUCGGCAGAGUAACUGUUGUCGGCGUGACGGUAUCCAACCAGAAAGCCACGGCUAACUACGUGCCAGCAGCCGCGGUAAUACGUAGGUGGCAAGCGUUAUCCGGAUUUAUUGGGCGUAAAGCGAGCGCAGGCGGUUUUUUAAGUCUGAUGUGAAAGCCCUCGGCUUAACCGAGGAAGCGCAUCGGAAACUGGGAAACUUGAGUGCAGAAGAGGACAGUGGAACUCCAUGUGUAGCGGUGAAAUGCGUAGAUAUAUGGAAGAACACCAGUGGCGAAGGCGGCUGUCUGGUCUGUAACUGACGCUGAGGCUCGAAAGCAUGGGUAGCGAACAGGAUUAGAUACCCUGGUAGUC